UUCGGAGAGCUCGCGUUUUUAAAUUCUUACCAUAAGUGUAUGAAUACUUAGUAACUGAAAUAUUCGGCUAAAUUUGCGACCGUUACUCUGGACUCAAUCAACAGAAGUCACUGGUACUCUGCGCCAUUCCCUGCUGAUAGUUGGAUGUUUUUCUGAAGAAAGAAGAAGGUGUGAAGCCCAGAAGCUCGGAGCCCUAUACCAAGCAAACUCAACCAGGUGGCAAGACAGCAGUGGGCCUUGUUUCCCUCAACUCCAGACUUCAGACGACACAGAUUUUACUGCAAAGUGUUGAAGACCAGACCAACACAUACAUGCACAA
Epinephelus moara (kelp grouper) is the source of this 319-nucleotide long non-coding RNA. RefSeq lists it as uncharacterized. NCBI's taxonomy places the organism in Eukaryota, Metazoa, Chordata, Actinopteri, Perciformes, Serranidae. The record is from RefSeq and is a predicted model, not a curated record. The transcript is spliced from 3 exons.